UACGGAGGUGGCAAGCGUUGUUCGGAAUUACUGGGCGUAAAGGGCGCGUAGGCGGCUAGGCAAGUCAGGUGUGAAAGCCCCGAGCUUAACUCGGGAAUUGCAUCUGAAACUGCUGUGCUUGAGUCCGGGAGAGGUGAGUGGAAUUCCCAGUGUAGCGGUGAAAUGCGUAGAUAUUGGGAGGAACACCAGUGGCGAAGGCGGCUCACUGGACCGGAACUGACGCUGAUGCGCGAAAGCGUGGGGAGCAAACGGG
RNAcentral lists this ribosomal RNA (253 nucleotides) under uncultured bacterium. RNAcentral's name for it is "partial 16S ribosomal RNA". It matches the Rfam family "Bacterial small subunit ribosomal RNA", at positions 524 to 776 of the family's 1533-position model. The record is from RNAcentral.